GGAACUGAAACAUCUAAGUACCUGAAGGAAGAGAAAGAAAUUCGAUUCCGUAAGUAGCGGCGAGCGAACGCGGAUUAGCCCAAACCAAUAAAGUUUUCUUUAUUGGGGUUGCGGACAUAUCAUAACGAAGAGGUAUCGUAAUUGAAGAGGUUUGGAAAGACCAACCACAGAAGGUAAUAGUCCUGUAUGUUAAACGAGAAGACUUUAGAUAUGAUCCAGAGUACCACGGGACACGUGAAACCCUGUGGGAAGCAGGAGGGACCACCCUCCAAGGCUAAAUACUACCUAGUGACCGAUAGCGUAUAGUACCGUGAGGGAAAGGUGAAAAGAACC
RNAcentral lists this ribosomal RNA (333 nucleotides) under Clostridioides difficile. RNAcentral's name for it is "bacterial LSU rRNA". It matches the Rfam family "Bacterial large subunit ribosomal RNA", at positions 189 to 525 of the family's 2925-position model. The record is from RNAcentral. Lineage: Bacteria; Bacillati; Bacillota; Clostridia; Peptostreptococcales; Peptostreptococcaceae.